AUUGAACGCUGGCGGCAGGCCUAACACAUGCAAGUCGAGCGAGCGGCGGACGGGUGAGUAAUGUCUGGGAAACUGCCUGAUGGAGGGGGAUAACUACUGGAAACGGUAGCUAAUACCGCAUACCAUCAGAUGUGCCCAGAUGGGAUUAGCUAGUCGGUGGGGGAAUGGCGCACCAAGGCGACGAUCCCUAGCUGGUCUGAGAGGAUGACCGGCCACACUGGGACUGAGACACGGUCCAGACUCCUACGGGAGGCAGCAGUAGGGAAUAUUGCGCAAUGGGCGAAAGCCUGAUGCAGCCAUGCCGCGUGUGUGAAGAAGGCCUUCGGGUUGUAAAGCACUUUCAGCGGGGAGGCGUUACUCGCAGAAGAAGCACCGGCUAACUCCGUGCCAGCAGCCGCGGUAAUAC
RNAcentral lists this ribosomal RNA (406 nucleotides) under uncultured bacterium. RNAcentral's name for it is "partial 16S ribosomal RNA". It matches the Rfam family "Bacterial small subunit ribosomal RNA", at positions 29 to 526 of the family's 1533-position model. The record is from RNAcentral.